AGGACGAACGCUGGCGGCGUGCUUAACACAUGCAAGUCGAGCGGAAAGGCCCUUCGGGGUACUCGAGCGGCGAACGGGUGAGUAACACGUGAGUAACCUGCCCCUAGCUCUGGGAUAGCUCCGGGAAACCGGGAUUAAUACCAGAUACGACCACUUUAGACAUCUGUCGUGGUGGAAAGGAUUCCGGCUAGGGAUGGGCUCGCGGCCUAUCAGCUUGUUGGUGGGGUAACGGCCUACCAAGGCGACGACGGUAGCCGGCCUGAGAGGGCGACCGGCCACACUGGGACUGAGACACGGCCCAGACUCCUACGGGAGGCAGCAGUGGGGAAUAUUGCGCAAUGGGCGAAAGCCUGACGCAGCGACGCCGCGUGGGGGAUGAAGGCCUUCGGGUUGUAAACCCCUUUCAGCAGGGACGAAGCGAAAGUGACGGUACCUGCAGAAGAAGCGCCGGCUAACUACGCGCCAGCCAGCCGC
Molecule: ribosomal RNA, 474 nt
Filed under: uncultured bacterium
Lineage: Bacteria
Description: SSU rRNA
Rfam family: Bacterial small subunit ribosomal RNA
Source: RNAcentral